Molecule: ribosomal RNA, 261 nt
Filed under: uncultured bacterium
Lineage: Bacteria
Description: partial 16S ribosomal RNA
Rfam family: Bacterial small subunit ribosomal RNA
Source: RNAcentral
CGUACCUACGGGGGGCAGCAGUGGGGAAUAUUGGGCAAUGGGCGCAAGCCUGACCCAGCAACGCCGCGUGAAGGAAGAAGGCUUUCGGGUUGUAAACUUCUUUUAUGAGGGACGAAAGAAAUGACGGUACCUCAUGAAUAAGCCACGGCUAACUACGUGCCAGCAGCCGCGGUAAUACGUAGGCGGCAAGCGUUAUCCGGAUUUACUGGGUGUAAAGGGCGAGUAGGCGGGACUGAAAGUCAGAUGUGAAAAUUAUGGGCU